Molecule: ribosomal RNA, 258 nt
Filed under: uncultured bacterium
Lineage: Bacteria
Description: partial 16S ribosomal RNA
Rfam family: Bacterial small subunit ribosomal RNA
Source: RNAcentral
UACAGAGGGUGCAAGCGUUAAUCGGAGUUACUGGGCGUAAAGGGCGCGUAGGUGGUUGUUUUAAGUGAGAUGUGAAAUCCCUGGGCUUAACCUAGGAACUGCAUCUUAUACUGGACAACUGGAGUACUGUAGAGGGUAGUGGAAUUUCCGGUGUAGCGGUGAAAUGCGUAGAUAUCGGGAGGAACACCAGUGGCGAAGGCGCUUCCUGGCCUGUUCUUGACGUGAGGCGCGAAAAGCUAGGGGGGAGCAAAACGGGGA